This is a long non-coding RNA of Acanthochromis polyacanthus (spiny chromis), 2049 nucleotides long. RefSeq lists it as uncharacterized. NCBI's taxonomy places the organism in Eukaryota, Metazoa, Chordata, Actinopteri, Pomacentridae. The record is from RefSeq and is a predicted model, not a curated record. The transcript is spliced from 2 exons.
CCUCGUCAUCCUGGAUGUUGACGUCGGCGCCGUGACCCAGCAGCGCCCGGACCAUGUCCAUCCUGCCAUGACUGACCGCCAGCAUCAGCCCCGUCUGACCCGCCUGCAGCCCGCUGCUGCGUUCUGCCGCUGCCUCUUCACCUCUCGUUUCCUACCUGACUGGCUCUGGCGUUGACGUCUCCCUUGCUGAAGAGCUCCUCCACUAUCCUCAUGUCCCUGGGCGUCUCCACGGCAGCGAGGGCGGCGAGCAUGAUGGGCGUGUAUCCCGCCUUGUUCUGCUGGUUCACGUUACACACAUCUGAAACGGACACACAGCGGCGGGUUAAAGCAGCUCCCGGCUGACUUUUCUCUUUCCAUCCUGGGUGGUCUGAGCGGGAAUCAAACCCUUCAGGCUGCGAUUGACUCGUCCGUGUCGCCGCCUGUCGCUCAGCAGCACAAUAACGAACACGGCGUGGUGUCAGGACGGUGAUGGACUGUCUGGACACUAAACAGCUCAUCUUUACUCUAUGAGCUGCCUCAGUGUCAGAGCUACGCAAAAAAAAGAAGAAAGCCUUGAGACAUCAGAGCCGGGAUGGAAGUGCAGCGAGGGGAGGCCUUAAGGAACUGGGACGGAGCGAGCACAAAGGCUACAAUGGGACCAGGGGGGUGGAUUUGCUGUCACAGAGGACAAGGACACAAAAGGGCGAGCAGACAAAAGGCUUUUGGAGCAGCGAGUGGCCGGGACCUCAUCUCAGUCUAUUGAGGGUUCAGAGGGAUCUGAAGCUGCAUGGAUGAGGACGAAACCUGCUCCAGAACUUUAAACAGCAACUGUACUCUCCUUCUGUGCAGCUGCACAAACACCAGUGUGCAUUAGUGUCCAUUUCCUCUUUGUUUCCUUUUGCUUUUGAGAUUUUCUGGCCUCUGAAUAAGCUGCACAAAUACGACAUAUUACAUUACUAAUCACAGUUUAACAGCUACAACCGGCUCUUUGUGACGUUCUUAAAGCUUCCACUCCACAGUUUUACACACUAUUGUAGAUUUACAGUACUGUUUAAUGUUAUUUUAGGAUAAACUUUUUUGACCUUGAAAGUGAACUCAGUUUGUUUUGCAGUUCUGUCUACAGGUUUUGUAGGACACAGUACAUAUCUUAUGUGUAUUUAGAUGUUUGUAGUUUGUUUUAGUAACAUAAAAACCACUGAUUAGAUAGUUUGAGCCUUAUUCUGUGAAAAACUCUCGACUACUAAUCUACUAUUUGAAGGUGACAGCAGAGAUACAGACAGAAAAUAAAGUUUUUUGCCCUUACGUGGACAGGUUUGGAGCACAUGGUAAAUAUCUUGUGUUGUGCUUCUUAUGCAUGUCUUAUAUGUGUGUUUAGAUGUUUUAAUAUGUCACAAAUAUAAGCACCAUCGGUAAGACAGUUUUAGCUUUUUUUCCUUUUAAAACGACUGAAACUACUGACUACUCAUGUAAUAUUUGAAGUGGAAAUAGACAGAAAAUGCAGGAAAGAACGAACAGUUGAUAAAUGUCUUGUAUUUUAUGUUCAUUGUGUAUGUUUUAUUUACGUUUUAGCGAUAUAUAAACCAUCCAUGAGACAGUGUGUGAAAAGUUCAGUAAAAAUACUGAAACUACAGACUACUAAUCUAUUAUUUGAAGCAGGGACACAGAUAGAAAAUGCAAAGAAGUAGAGGUUUUUUUUGGUAAAUGGUAAAUUUCUAAUAUGUUACUGUCCGUUGUGCACAUCUUAUAUAUACUUUCAAUAUGUUUUAGUAGUAGAACAACUGUUCAAUAGACAGUGUGAGCCUUUGUUCUGUACAAAAAACACCUAAACUACUGACUACUCAUCUAUUAUUUCGAGGUGACAGUAGAGAUGCAGUCAGAAAAUUCAGGAAGGAUAAAGAGAGCAGACUUUGUAGUAACCUGAUUAAAGAUUACAAGAAGAGAAGGAGCAGUGUGGAGAGUUCAGGAAAAGAAAAGCUUCUGAACAAAAAAGCAAAAAAACAAAACCUUGGCUGCACUUUAAAACAAAACUCAUAAUCCCAAGAUUGAAUAAACCAGGAAGGCUUUCAAACA